Molecule: ribosomal RNA, 450 nt
Filed under: uncultured bacterium
Lineage: Bacteria
Description: partial 16S ribosomal RNA
Rfam family: Bacterial small subunit ribosomal RNA
Source: RNAcentral
CUCCAGACUCCUACGGGAGGCAGCAGUAAGGGAUAUUGGUCAAUGGGGGAAACCCUGAUGCAGCGACGCCGCGUGGGCGAAGAGGUAUUUCGGUAUGUAAAGCCCUAUCAGCAGGGAAGAAGAAAUGACGGUACCUGAGUAAGAAGCACCAGCUAGAUACGUGCCAGCAGCCGCGGUAAUACGUAUGGUGCAAGCGUUAUCCGGAUUUACUGGGUGUAAAGGGAGCGCAGGCGGCACGGCAAGCCUGAUGUGAAAGCCCGCGGCCCAACCGCGGGACUGCAUUGGGAACUACCGGGCUGGAGUGCCGGAGAGGUAGGCGGAAUUCCUAGUGUAGCGGUGAAAUGCGUAGAUAUCAGGAGGAACACCGGUGGCGAAGGCGGCCUGCUGGACUGCAACUGACGUUGAGGCCCGAAAGCGUGGGGAGCAAACAGGAUUAGAUACCCUCGUACU